GAUGAACGCUGGCGGCGUGCCUAAUACAUGCAAGUCGAGCGAACAGACGAGGAGCUUGUUCCUCUGAUGUUAGCGGCGGACGGGAGAGUAACACGUGGAUAACCUACCUAUAAGACGGGGAUAACUUCGGGAAACCGGAGCUAACACCGGAUAACAUGCUGAACCGCAGGGUUGAAUAGUGAAAGUCGGUCUUGCGGUCACUAAUAGAUGGAUCCGCGCCGCAUUAGCUAGUUGGUAAGGUUACGGCCUAUCAAGGCAACGAUGCGUAGCCGACGUGAGAGGGUGGUAGCCCGCACUAGAGGUUGGACGCGGUCCUGGCGCCUGCGAGAGGGAGCAGUAGGGAAUCGUCCGCAGUAGGCGAGAGCCUUGCGGAACGGCGCCGAGUGAGAGGAGGAAGUCUUCGGAUCGUAAUACUGUGUUAUUAGUGAAAAACAGAUGUGUAAGUUACUGUGCACGUAUUGACGGUACCGGGUCAGAAAGCCACGGCUAACUACGUG
RNAcentral lists this ribosomal RNA (497 nucleotides) under uncultured bacterium. Its description in RNAcentral is "partial 16S ribosomal RNA". It matches the Rfam family "Bacterial small subunit ribosomal RNA", at positions 28 to 507 of the family's 1533-position model. The record is from RNAcentral.